GUAAAAGAAGAAGAAAACACGACAUACAUCCACGGUUCACACUCCACCCAGCAGGUGGCGGUCAUUUAAAUCCCGUGUUACUGAGUGGUAAGGUAAAACUAAACAUUUUGGUGGCGCACCGCGCGCCAGUGAAAACUUGGUAAAUGUUAUCUAACAACUUGACAGUUGGUUGUUGUCAGGACUUUUGCAAAUUUCCGAGACUAGUUUCAGCAUUUCCCCCUGGUCAUCCCCUUAAAAAAAAAGUGGAAUCGUCCAACGGAAAAGGCUUUCACAACUAUUCUUCUGCUGGAGUUGCUGUGUGAGGAUGCAGUCAAACAGGUCUGAGUACAGUCACAGGCGGCAGUACAGUGACAGAAGUUCAAGGCAGUGGGAUGACUAUGAGGAUAGAAGGGAAGAAAGGCGUGAACCUCACAGAGAUAUACCGCAGGAUUCUUAUCAGAAAUAUGGUGGGGAUGGACAUAGUAGCACAGAGAGGACAAGUAGAAGUAGAGAGUUCAGUGACUCUCCUAAGAUGCUGUACAGCAAAGACUCAUUGAACAGAGACUGGAGCAGAAAGAGCUCAGCGAGGAGACUCAUGUCCUCACCUGAAUGGGGUACUUCUGAAAAGAAAAGGCGAAUGUUUACAGAGGAUGAUAAAGAUGAUUACAGAUACAGGCGUGAGCCUGAGGAUAAAACAAACAGGCAGUCACCAGACAAUUUUUCACAUGCAACCAAGGAUUUUAAACGUACACUAUCACAGGAAGAGGAUUUAAAAUACAGGAAAACGCCUCAGGACUCCAGAUAUUGGCAUGAGGAGUUCAGCUAUAGGCAACAACAUGAUGACUGCAGACAAUCGUCUGGAUAUUACAAAGAUAGAGAUGGUCAUGAAAGGAGCCGAGACUGUUCACAAGAGAGGACACAGUCACAAGAUCGCUCCACUAAGAGUUAUGCCAAACCCAGAGAGAGGAAUGACAGCCCCUCCACACACGAGGAUUAUCGUCAAAUUAGAAGACUGUUUCCAUUGAAUGGAUCAAGUGGACAGUCUUCUGAGAGUGAUGUCACCAACCAAAGUGCAGCUGUCACUGAGCAGAAGAAGUCAGCCGUGGGCUUCCAGCGCUUCCUCGAUGUGCUCAACAAGGGUGUGAAUGUCGCCACGCUCACCAAGAUAGUGACUCAGACCUCCACAGAAGUGGAUGAUCGACCACGUUCUCCAACUUCUUUCAUGAACACUGAUCGUCCGUGGUCUCCAAGUUAUGCUGGGAGGCAACAGGGAAGCCACCAAAAUCCCAGCCACUGGAGCGAGAGCGAAGGAUCCCAGAGACUGGCUUCUCCACAGCCUCCACAGUCCUUUAGCCCAAAGGGGCACUCUCUGUCUGAUAGCAAGUCUCUGCAAAGGGGUGACGGAGAACAAAGCUACUUUAGCUCAAACAGCAGAUCCAGGUCUCCCUCAGUGGUGGAAAAGAUAACACUGACAACUGAAGAUGAGCACAAGCACAGGCAAAUGCAGGAUGUUUUGCAGGCCAUUGGCAUGAAUUUAGGAUCCGAGGAACUGGGCCAGAUGUCGCAUCGUAUCCAGGAGCGGUUGUAUGGAAAGAAGGAUAGUGACGGUGGCCGCCUUCGUAGAGCAAGUAGGGAAAGGGAGACAAAGCAAGCGUGUUCACCAAGACGGAAAAGUAGAUCAUCAUCGUCAAGCAAAUCUAGUUUUAGCCCUUUAAAUCAGGAAUAUUACAAGAAAAAAGACUGUUAUAGUACUCAGAGGGAUGUAACAGAGGUACACCAAGUACAGGUAGAUGAAGAUGUUGACUAUGGCCAGAAUAGCAGUAGUAGCACUUUACAGGAGAGUGAGAAAUGUGAAAAGUACUCCCAGGAAAGCACUGCUGCAUGUCAAUCAUUUUCUCAAAAUUCUGCAUACACUUUUUCAAAGCCAUCUCCUACACCUGUUAUGCCAAUGUACUCUCCAGUAAACUGUUCACCACUGCCAUAUCCAGCUCUUCCUCCUAACCUUCCCCACCUUGGACCCAGGCUGUUCUGGCCUCCUUUCUUCCCUUACCCCCAUGUCCCACCUUUGAACAUCUUUCCAGCAGUACUCGCUCAAACGAGUCAACUACUCCCACAGCACAUAAGCAAUCCACCUUACUUUAACCUGCCAGGUAUUAACCCAGUUCAGCCUCUGAACACCACACAAAAACCAAAACCACUCCCAAGGACCCGCUAUCUGCAGGUCAUUGAAACCAAACAACCUGGAUGAAGACAGUUGCAUAUGGUAGAAAUCUGACUGACUGAUAUAGUUAUUUUGCCUCCGGAGAAUAGUAAAAGAUCGUUAUAAAAUAAACUGUUGGGUCUUCAUGGACUUCCGUUUUGACCACAAACGCAUUUGAGCAUCACCUCAGAGAAAAUUAACAUUUGCAAUCACUGUCCAGCAGCAACAAAAAACAUCAGACAAGUUAACUGGCAAACAUAUAGGUGGUGUUGGAGCGCUGUCCAUCGCCCAGUCAUUUAUAACCAUAGCACAAUGUCAUGCUAAAGAAAAACACAGUUGGAAGUGUUUGUUUGUUUGUUUCUGAAAAUGUUGUCUUCUUGAUUUUUAUUUUUUAUUCAAUUUAUGUUUAAACACCAGGAUUUGAUGCAAUACAAUUUUUGUUGAAAUUAUUUGUCCACAGGUCUUUUGUAGGAUACAGGUCUGUAUCCUAAUGACAUGGAACUGUAGUUCAGUCUUCAGAGGGUUUUGGCAAACUCACAACUACAUAAUAUGCUCUACUGCUAAGCUUCAAUGUGGUUGAGGUUGACAUGUUUUCUUUUUUGUGUACACGUGCAGAAAAUGAUCCUGUAUUUGAAUAGCAUAAUAUUAAACACAAUGAUUCUAAAUCAAGAGCUGUUUAGUUGCACAGAUUUCUUGACUAUAUUGUAAAGAAGAACACAGAUUACAUAAUUAUCUGCAUAUACAGUAUAGUUUGCAUAAACACCAUUCUUGGAAAAGUGGGCCUGGGAUUGUGUUUUUUUUUUUUGGAAUAGAUCACUUUAAUUUCAGAUCUUUCACACCUCAGAGGUGAAGAUGUCUGCCAACACUUGUACCACUCUUCAGAAGCUAGAAACAGAAUAACCAACAGGGAAAGAUGUGCUCUUAGUAAAUGUAAAAUCUCUUAGUGCGCCAGAGAAAAUGUAUAAAGAACCACUCUUGAUUUUAGGAUUUUAAGAUAAAAAAUAAAUAAUCUGAUCACCGCUUUUGUUUAACAGGCUAUUGCUUAAACAUCUUGGGGGCAGCAUAGGCAGCGUGACUGGCUAUGAGCAGAGCCUGGUUUAACAUCCCAGUGACAUGAAGCAGGGUUAGUCCUCAGAGAGUAGUGCAAGUUCACAAACACUGACUAAACUGUCCAUGUGCAAAUGAGUAGGACAUGUUCAGAUUUUCGUCAAAGGUUGGUGUCAUGUUUAUAUUUCCAUCACUCAUUAGCCGAAUUAUUACUGCGGUGUUGGUACUCCGUGCAGCAGGUGGCGCUGUUUAUAUAAACUUUUCAACACCACCGAAGCAGUGAGCUCAGUCUUAGCCCCUCUUCCUUAGUUCAAGCUAUUUAAUGUCAACAUUAAUGGUUGUCCACGCCUACUGCUGAAACAAUCCAAAGGUCCGUUUUGUCAUCAUCUAAGAACUUAAUUUUCGAAGCAACAGCCUUAAAGUUUCACUUUUCCCGUGAUGCGACAGUUUUAAGCCGCUGUAGCAGGUAAACAGUGUGUUAGCUGUAAAGCUAUCUAAAGCCAGGGUUUAACGUCAGGUUUGCUGUGUGUUCCGUCCUUAAUUUGCUAAAUGACUUGUUACACCAUGUCAAAGUGCCAUCGAGAUUGGGUUAUCAAACGGUAGGCUUUGUCUUUCAAGUCCAUAUGUGAGCCAAGUUAGUCUUUGGUAACGUUACUGAAAAACAUUGUGUCAACAGUCGCGAGGUGGGGGCUUGUGCAAAAGGCAUUUAACAUGUUCUGCAUACAGGUCUGGUCUAAUUCAGUCAUUUCUCC
This is a long non-coding RNA of Cottoperca gobio, 3978 nucleotides long. Ensembl annotates it as zinc finger CCCH domain-containing protein 13-like. NCBI's taxonomy places the organism in Eukaryota, Metazoa, Chordata, Actinopteri, Perciformes, Bovichtidae. The record is from Ensembl.